RNAcentral lists this ribosomal RNA (492 nucleotides) under uncultured bacterium. Its description in RNAcentral is "partial 16S ribosomal RNA". It matches the Rfam family "Bacterial small subunit ribosomal RNA", at positions 29 to 507 of the family's 1533-position model. The record is from RNAcentral.
AGUGAACGCUGGCGGUAGGCCUAACACAUGCAAGUCGAACGGCAGCACAGUAAGAGCUUGCUCUUACGGGUGGCGAGUGGCGGACGGGUGAGGAAUACAUCGGAAUCUACUUUUUCGUGGGGGAUAACGUAGGGAAACUUACGCUAAUACCGCAUACGACCUACGGGUGAAAGCAGGGGAUCUUCGGACCUUGCGCGAUUGAAUGAGCCGAUGUCGGAUUAGCUAGUUGGCGGGGUAAAGGCCCACCAAGGCGACGAUCCGUAGCUGGUCUGAGAGGCUGAUCAGCCACACUGGAACUGGGACACGGUCCAGACUCCUACGGGACGCAGCAGUGGGGAAUAUUGGACAAUGGGCGCAAGCCUGAUCCAGCCAUACCGCGUGGGUGAAGAAGGCCUUCGGGUUGUAAAGCCCUUUUGUUGGGAAAGAAAAGCAGCAGGUUAAUACCCAGCUGUUCUGACGGUACCCAAUGAAUAAGCACCGGCUAACUUCGUG